This 320-nucleotide ribosomal RNA is filed under the name uncultured eukaryote. RNAcentral's name for it is "partial 18S ribosomal RNA". It matches the Rfam family "Eukaryotic small subunit ribosomal RNA", at positions 1470 to 1796 of the family's 1831-position model. The record is from RNAcentral.
CCCCUAGAUGUUCUGGGCCGCACGCGCGCUACACUGAACAGUUCAACAAGUCUUAACCUUGGCCGAUAGGUCUGGGUAAUCUUUGAACGCUGUUCGUGAUUGGGAUAGACCUUUGCAAUUAUGGGUCUUCAACGAGGAAUUCCUAGUAAACGCAAGUCAUCAGCUUGCAUUGAUUACGUCCCUGCCCUUUGUACACACCGCACGUCGCACCUACCGAUUGAAUGGUCCGGUGAAAUCUCGGGACGGCGGCUUGGUCGCUUGCGUCCGACUGCUGAAACUUGAUUAAACCAUAUCAUUUAGAGGAAGGUGAAGUCGUAACA